AUUUUACUAUUUAUAUAGCGCCAUCAGAUUCCGUAGCGCUGUAAAAUGGGUGUACUAACAGACAUGUAAUUGUAACCAGACAACUGGAUGUACAGGAACAGAGAGGUGGAGAGACCUGCUCAAUGUUAAUAGUCCUGUCCGUUGGUGUUUACGUAACUCGUUUAGAAUACGUUUUAGUUGGGAUUACAUAGAUAUUUAGUAUGUCACUACUAACUGUUG
This is a non-coding RNA of Pelobates cultripes (western spadefoot toad), 219 nucleotides long. Lineage: Eukaryota; Metazoa; Chordata; Amphibia; Anura; Pelobatidae. The record is from the annotation of a GenBank genome assembly.